This 254-nucleotide ribosomal RNA is filed under the name uncultured bacterium. Its description in RNAcentral is "partial 16S ribosomal RNA". It matches the Rfam family "Bacterial small subunit ribosomal RNA", at positions 524 to 776 of the family's 1533-position model. The record is from RNAcentral.
GACGUAGGGCGCGAGCGUUGUCCGGAUUUAUUGGGCGUAAAGAGCUCGUAGGCGGCUUGUUGCGUCGACUGUGAAAACCUGCGGCUCAACCGUGUGGUCUGCAGUCGAUACGGGCAGGCUGGAGUUCGGUAGGGGAGACUGGAAUUCCUGGUGUAGCGGUGAAAUGCGCAGAUAUCAGGAAGAACACCAAUGGCGAAAGCAGCUCUCUGGGACGGUACUGACGCUGAGACGCGAAAGCGUGGGGAGCGAACAGG